CCGCUGCUACAGACUAGGUGGCAUAAGCUACCGCCCGAUCCAAAGGGCUCAGCUGCAUUCAUCGAUCCAUCCAUCCACUGUCGUUGCGUCGUUGCUGUCGAUUUUGUUUUUUAGCUUGUGCUCUUGUGCUUGUAAUCGUCGCGUGGCGGACUACUCGAGACAGACGCUGCAGAGAAUAACAAUGUCGGGGCGUGGGCAACUGUUCAUAGGCCGUCUCCCUCUUGAAUGCAGAGAAAGAGAUGUGGAGCAAGUGUUCGAACGAUACGGCAGAUUACUGCGCUGCGACGUCAAAUAUGGCACGGGAAUGGCCUAUGCUUUUGUGGACUACGAAGACCAUCGUGAUGCAGAGUGGCCAGACUACCGCUGUGUGGCACGGGGAGGAGGGCCGACCCUCCCGGGAGACACUACCGAAGCCCCGUUUCCUUUUGCCCGUGAAGCGGAGGCUGCGGCGACGGGACUCCCGUGCCGAGAGACGCCGGCAAAGAGAGAGACCCCCCCCGUUGCGAGACCGCUUUGCGAGAUGCGUUGCAAACCAUUGCUAGUGUGCCGGAGCCUGCCUGUUCUGUCCGACCCCCUGUCAGCGACUGGCAACGACAGGCUGCGACGCCGUCAAGUAUGAGAACGGCCGCGAGAUCCGCGGCCAGAGUGUGGUGGUGGAGUGGGCCCGGGGCCCUUCCUUCCGGCCUCCCGCAGCCAAAGUGAGCAGCUUUGAUGAGUGCUAUCGCUGCCGCCGCACGGGUCACUGGGCCAGGGACUGCCCCGAGGGCGACAGCAGGGAACGCCCUUACUACCCGUCGAG
Molecule: unclassified non-coding RNA, 799 nt
Filed under: Ixodes scapularis (black-legged tick)
Lineage: Eukaryota; Metazoa; Arthropoda; Arachnida; Ixodida; Ixodidae
Description: serine/arginine-rich splicing factor RS2Z33, transcript variant X2
Source: RNAcentral